Oryzias melastigma (Indian medaka) is the source of this 989-nucleotide long non-coding RNA. RefSeq lists it as uncharacterized. Lineage: Eukaryota; Metazoa; Chordata; Actinopteri; Beloniformes; Adrianichthyidae. The record is from RefSeq and is a predicted model, not a curated record. The transcript has 4 exons.
UCUCAGCACAACAACCAGAUCACUACUGCAGACCACAAUGAAGGUCAGCACAGAAAUGACGACGUUCUUCUUCAUGGUCCUGAAGAAAUUCAGAAUGAUCCAGAAGAUGAAAACACAGGUGAAUCCAGGAUGGUUACAUAUUCUUCAAUCAAGCUUAAAACCUUCACUAAGAAAAAAAAGAGACAGAAACCAGCAGAGAACUCAGUUUACUCUGAUGUGAAGACAGGAGCGUCUGCAGGUAAGAUCUGUCUCUAUGGAAACAUGAUCUCCAUCCAUGCAGCUGUGACUCUAAAAAUGACAGACUGCCAGAUAGAUAGAUAGAUAGAUAGAGUACUUUAUUAAUCCCGAAGGAACUUACAAAAAUUCAUCCAUUGCUCCAAACACACACACAAGCAGGUUCAAAGUAAAUAAAGCUAGAAACAGCUAUAAAACAGGUUAGAUUAAAAGCAUUAAAAUUAUGGAGCUGUUAAAAGCAAUUAAAAGUGUUAAAAUUACUGUAUGAAUAAAUAAAAAUAGUUAGUCGUUCAGACGCCCCCUCUUGCCCCCCCCAGCUACAUUGAAAAGUCUUAUUGCGCUCGGUGCGAAGGACUUCCUGAGCCUUUCAGUGGAGCAUGGUAGAGAGCGCAGGCGGUUGCUGAAGACGCUCCUUUGGGCGGCGAACAGUCCAUGUAGAGGGUGACCAGUGUUUGUCAUUAUGCUCUCCAGCUUGGUCAGCAUCCUCCGCUUAGCCACCACCUCUGCCGUCUCCAUGUUUCGGCCCACCACACAGCCCGCCCUCUUGAUCAGGCGAUUUAGUUUUUUUAAGUCCUUUUUGUUUGCACCGCCCCUCCAACACACCACUGCAUAAAACAAAGCACUGAAAACAACGGACUGACAGAACAUAAAAAGGAGUUCCGAGCAGAUGUUAAAAGAGUCGAGUCUUUUUAAAAAGUAUAGCCUGCUCUGCCCCUUCCUGUAGAUGCAGUCCAUGUUUGCUGACCAGUUCAGGC